Molecule: ribosomal RNA, 158 nt
Filed under: Fusarium sp.
Lineage: Eukaryota; Fungi; Ascomycota; Sordariomycetes; Hypocreales; Nectriaceae
Description: 5.8S ribosomal RNA
Rfam family: 5.8S ribosomal RNA
About the family: 5.8S ribosomal RNA (5.8S rRNA) is a component of the large subunit of the eukaryotic ribosome. It is transcribed by RNA polymerase I as part of the 45S precursor that also contains 18S and 28S rRNA. Functionally, it is thought that 5.8S rRNA may be involved in ribosome translocation.
Source: RNAcentral
AAACUUUCAACAACGGAUCUCAUGGUUCUGGCAUCGAUGAACAACGCAGCAUAAUGCGAUAAGUAAUGUGAAUUGCAAAAUUCAGUGAAUCAUCAAAUCUUUGAACGCACAUUGCGCCCGCCAGUAUUCUGGCGGGCAUGCCUGUUCCAGCGUCAUUU